GAUGAACGCUGGCGGCGUGCCUAACACAUGCAAGUCGAGCGGAAAGGCCCUUCGGGGUCCUCGAUCGGCGAACGGGCGGGUAACACGUGAGUAACCUGCCCCCGACUUUGGGAUAACCCGCGGAAACGGGGGAUAAUACCGGAUACGCCACAGCUUCGCAUGGGGUCUGGGUGGAAAGGUGUUCGGGGUUGGAUGUGCUCGCGGCCUAUCAGCUUGUUGGUGGGGUGAUGGCCUGCCAAGGCGACGCCGGGUAACCGGCCUGAGAAUGGGACCGGCGACACAGGGACUGAGAGACGGCCGAGGCAGCGACGGGAGGGAGAAGUGGGGAAGAUUGCACAAGGGGCGGAAGGCUGGUGAAGCGGCUCCGCGGGAGGGAAGACGGUCUUCGGGGUGUAAACCUCAUUCAGCAGGGACGGAGCGUAAGUGACGGUACCUGCAGAAGAAGCGCCGGCCAACUACGUG
This 462-nucleotide ribosomal RNA is filed under the name uncultured bacterium. Its description in RNAcentral is "partial 16S ribosomal RNA". It matches the Rfam family "Bacterial small subunit ribosomal RNA", at positions 28 to 507 of the family's 1533-position model. The record is from RNAcentral.